This 118-nucleotide ribosomal RNA is filed under the name Microcebus murinus (gray mouse lemur). The record is from RNAcentral. Lineage: Eukaryota; Metazoa; Chordata; Mammalia; Primates; Cheirogaleidae.
GUCUACAGCCAUACCACCAUGAACGUGCCUGAUAUUGUCUGAUCUUGGAAGCUAAGUAGGGUCGGGGCUGGUUAGUACUUGGAUGGAGAAAUAAGAAUAUAUACUCCCUGCUUAGACA